This is an RNA transcript of Ochotona curzoniae (black-lipped pika), 1107 nucleotides long. It is a transcript of the gene named WD repeat domain phosphoinositide-interacting protein 4-like, with no coding region annotated. The transcript has 2 exons. NCBI's taxonomy places the organism in Eukaryota, Metazoa, Chordata, Mammalia, Lagomorpha, Ochotonidae. The record is from RefSeq and is a predicted model, not a curated record.
AUCACAAGGGAGAAACAGACUGGAGUUGGAACACAAUCCCAGGGGGCAAACCUGGAAAAUGGCUCAGCUGCCACUUCGAGGAGUGACCAGCGUGCGAUUCAACCAGGAUCAAAGCUGCUUUUGCUGUGCCAUGGAGACAGGUGCACACAUCUACAAUGUGGAGCCAUUGAUGGAAAAGGGACAUCUGAGUGAGCCUUUGUGCUGAUCUGGGAUGAUGUCCGGGAGGGCAAGGACUCCAAAGACAAGCCCGUAGUAGAGUUCACCUUUACCAAGCCCAUGCUGGCUGUGCACAUGCGCAUGACAAGCUCGUGCUCGCGCUGAGGAACCGCAUCUAUGUGUACUCCUUCCCCAACAACCCACGAAAGCUGUUUGAAUUUGACACCCAGGACAACCUCAAGGGGCUCUGCAACCUCUGCCCCAGCCUCCAGAAACAGCUGCUCGUGUUCCCAGCAAACAAGUGUGGCAGCCUACAACUUGUGGACCCAGCAAGCACAAAGCCUGGCACAUCAUCAGCUCCUUUCACCAUUAAUGCACAUCAGUGAUGUGGCUUGCGUGUCAUUGAACCAGCUAGGGAACGUGGUGGCCUCAACCUCCCAGAAAGGCACCCUCAUUCUCCUUUUUGACACCCAGUCCAAGGAGAAACUGGUAGAGCCGUGACAAGGCACGGACCCUGCCACCCUUUACUGCAUUAACUUCAGCCACGACUUGUCCUUCCUGUGCGCUUCCAGCGAUAAGGGCCCAGUUCAUACAUUUGCUCUCAAGGACACUCCUCUCAACCGCCGCUCUGCAUGAUACUGUAGCAGGCUGGCUCACGUGGGCAAAGUACGGCCUAUGAUUGGACAGUCCGGGGAUUCCCAGUGGAGCCUGGUGAGCUUCACCGUGCCUGCAUCUGUGCUUUCAAGAGUGUAAACUCCGUCUCUGCCAUUUGUGUCGGUGGGACCUUCCACAAACACGUCUUCACCCAAGAUGGAAACUGCAAUUGAGAGGCUUUCGAUGUGUACCUUGAUAUUUGUGAUGAUGAUGACUUCUAAGGACCCUGGAAGCAGGAUUAGGGACCUGUCAUGGCAGGCUGCCAGUGGAACCUUGGUGCGGGUGUGGGGGGAGGGU